AACGAACGCUGGCGGCAUGCCUAACACAUGCAAGUCGAACGAGACCUUCGGGUCUAGUGGCGCACGGGUUCGUAACGCGUGGGAACCUGCCCUUAGGUUCGGAAUAACUCCCCGAAAGGGGUGCUGAUACCGGAUAAUGUCUUCGGACCAAAGAUUUAUCGCCUUUGGAUGGGCCCGCGUUGGAUUAGCUAGUUGGUAGGGUGAAAGCCUACCAAGGCGACGAUCCAUAGCUGGUCUGAGAGGAUGAUCAGCCACACUGGGACUGAGACACGGCCCAGACUCCUACGAGAGGCAGCGAUUGGGAAUAUUGGACAAUGGGCGAAAGCCUGAUCCAGCAAUGCCGCGUGAGUGAUGAAGGCCUUAGGAUUGUAAAGCUCUUUUACCCGAGAUGAGAAUGACAGUACCGGGUGAAUAAGCUCCGGCUAACUCCGUG
Molecule: ribosomal RNA, 433 nt
Filed under: uncultured bacterium
Lineage: Bacteria
Description: partial 16S ribosomal RNA
Rfam family: Bacterial small subunit ribosomal RNA
Source: RNAcentral